AUAAAAUUUUCUUGAAAAAAAAAAAAAAAAAAAAAAAAAAUCUGUUCUUAUCAGUUUAAUAUCUGAUACGUCCCCUACCCGGGGACCAUAUAUUAAAUUGAUUUUUGGAACAGGGAGAAGGACCAGGGGCUUGCUCCAUCCUCUCUGCGCAUCGACCUGGUAUUGCAUUACCUCCAGGAACGGUGCUAAUCCU
Molecule: small nuclear RNA, 193 nt
Organism: Synchiropus splendidus (mandarinfish)
Lineage: Eukaryota; Metazoa; Chordata; Actinopteri; Syngnathiformes; Callionymidae
Product: U2 spliceosomal RNA
Exons: 1
Source: RefSeq, a predicted model, not a curated record